Molecule: ribosomal RNA, 392 nt
Filed under: uncultured Gammaproteobacteria bacterium
Lineage: Bacteria; Pseudomonadati; Pseudomonadota; Gammaproteobacteria
Description: bacterial SSU rRNA
Rfam family: Bacterial small subunit ribosomal RNA
Source: RNAcentral
AAUGGGCGCAAGCCUGAUCCAGCCAUGCCGCGUGAGUGAUGAAGGCCUUAGGGUUGUAAAGCUCUUUUAUCCGGGACGAUAAUGACGGUACCGGAGGAAUAAGCCCCGGCUAACUCCGUGCCAGCAGCCGCGGUAAUACGAAGGGGGCUAGCGUUGCUCGGAAUCACUGGGCGUAAAGGGCGCGUAGGCGGCGUUUUAAGUCGGGGGUGAAAGCCUGUGGCUCAACCACAGAAUGGCCUUCGAUACUGGGACGCUUGAGUAUGGUAGAGGUUGGUGGAACUGCGAGUGUAGAGGUGAAAUUCGUAGAUAUUCGCAAGAACACCGGUGGCGAAGGCGGCCAACUGGACCAUUACUGACGCUGAGGCGCGAAAGCGUGGGGAGCAAACAGGAUU